Canis lupus familiaris (dog) is the source of this 270-nucleotide long non-coding RNA. RefSeq lists it as uncharacterized. NCBI's taxonomy places the organism in Eukaryota, Metazoa, Chordata, Mammalia, Carnivora, Canidae. The record is from RefSeq and is a predicted model, not a curated record. The transcript is spliced from 3 exons.
UCAGAAACAGUACUCUAUUCCACAGAGUUACAGAAUAUGGAUUCCAAUUCAAGUCGUAGAUGUCAUAGGACUUCUAAUAUGGAAGAAUCAUCUCGUUGGCCUGUUCAAUAUAUCAGCCCCAUCAAUUGAACACGUUGGUUGUAAAGAUUAAAAUAGUCAAAUACUCAAAAUCUAUAAAAGAUUCCUUUGCAGAUUUCUUCACAUAUGUGAAUGCCCAAGGCUCAGACUUUGUAUUUCUCAGGAUUUCAAAUAAAAUCAUAUUAUAUACUA